UGCAUGGGCGAAAGCUGACGGAGCAUCUUCGCGUGAGGGAUGAAGGCUCUGGGCUGUAUACCUCUUUUAUCAAGGAAGAAGAUCUGACGGUACUUGAUGAAUAAGCCACGGCUAAUUCCGUGCCAGCAGCCGCGGUAAUACGGGAGUGGCAAGCGUUAUCCGGAAUUAUUGGGCGUAAAGCGUCCGCAGGCGGUCUUGUAAGUCUGUCGUUAAAGCGUGGAGCUUAACUCCAUUUGAGCGAUGGAAACUGCAAGACUAGAGUGUGGUAGGGGCAGAGGGAAUUCCCGGUGUAGCGGUGAAAUGCGUAGAUAUCGGGAAGAACACCAGUGGCGAAGGCGCUCUGCUGGGCCAUAACUGACGCUCAUGGACGAAAGCCAGGGGAGCGAAAGGGAUUAGAUACCCCUGUAGUCCUGGUCGUAAACGAUGAACACUAGGUGUCGGGGGAAUCGACCCCCUCGGUGUCGUAGCCAACGCGUUAAGUGUUCCGCCUGGGGAGUACGCACGCAAGUGUGAAACUCAAAGGAAUUGACGGGGGCCCGCACAAGCGGUGGAGUAUGUGGUUUAAUUCGAUGCAACGCGAAGAACCUUACCAGGGUUUGACAUCCUGCGAAUCCCUUGGAAACGAGGGAGUGCCUUCGGGAGCGCAGUGA
This 650-nucleotide ribosomal RNA is filed under the name uncultured bacterium. RNAcentral describes it as "bacterial SSU rRNA". It matches the Rfam family "Bacterial small subunit ribosomal RNA", at positions 367 to 1034 of the family's 1533-position model. The record is from RNAcentral.